GUAGGUGGCAAGCGUUAUCCGGAAUUAUUGGGCGUAAAGCGCGCGUAGGCGGUUUUUUAAGUCUGAUGUGAAAGCCCACGGCUCAACCGUGGAGGGUCAUUGGAAACUGGAAAACUUGAGUGCAGAAGAGGAAAGUGGAAUUCCAUGUGUAGCGGUGAAAUGCGCAGAGAUAUGGAGGAACACCAGUGGCGAAGGCGACUUUCUGGUCUGUAACUGACGCUGAUGUGCGAAAGCGUGGGGAUCAAACAGGAUUAGAUACCCUGGUAGUCCACGCCGUAAACGAUGAGUGCUAAGUGUUAGGGGGUUUCCGCCCUUUAGUGCUGCAGCUAACGCAUUAAGCACUCCGCCUGGGGAGUACGACCGCAAGGUUG
Molecule: ribosomal RNA, 371 nt
Filed under: uncultured bacterium
Lineage: Bacteria
Description: bacterial SSU rRNA
Rfam family: Bacterial small subunit ribosomal RNA
Source: RNAcentral